GCCCGGAUGGCGAAAUCGGUAGACGCAGCAGACUUAAAAUCUGCCGGCCGCAAGGCCAUGCCGGUUCGAUUCCGGCUCCGGGCACCA
RNAcentral lists this transfer RNA (87 nucleotides) under Pseudomonadota bacterium. RNAcentral's name for it is "tRNA-Leu". It matches the Rfam family "tRNA". Rfam says of the family: Transfer RNA (tRNA) molecules are approximately 80 nucleotides in length. Their secondary structure includes four short double-helical elements and three loops (D, anti-codon, and T loops). Further hydrogen bonds mediate the characteristic L-shaped molecular structure. tRNAs have two regions of fundamental functional importance: the anti-codon, which is responsible for specific mRNA codon recognition, and the 3' end, to which the tRNAs corresponding amino acid is attached (by aminoacyl-tRNA synthetases). tRNAs cope with the degeneracy of the genetic code in two manners: having more than one tRNA (with a specific anti-codon) for a particular amino acid; and 'wobble' base-pairing, i.e. permitting non-standard base-pairing at the 3rd anti-codon position. The record is from RNAcentral. Lineage: Bacteria; Pseudomonadati; Pseudomonadota.